CCUACGGGUGGCAGCAGUCGAGAAUCAUUCACAAUGGGGGAAACCCUGAUGGUGCGACGCCGCGUGGGGGAAUGAAGGUCUUCGGAUUGUAAACCCCUGUCAUGUGGGAGCAAAUUAAAAAGAUAGUACCACAAGAGGAAGAGACGGCUAACUCUGUGCCAGCAGCCGCGGUAAUACAGAGGUCUCAAGCGUUGUUCGGAAUCACUGGGCGUAAAGCGUGCGUAGGCUGUUUCGUAAGUCGUGUGUGAAAGGCGCGGGCUCAACCCGCGGACGGCACAUGAUACUGCGAGACUAGAGUAAGGGAGGGGGAACCGGAAUGCUCGGUGUAGCAGUGAAAUGCGUAGAUAUCGAGAGGAACACUCGUGGCGAAGGCGGGUUCCUGGACAGUAACUGACGCUGAGGCACGAAGGCCAGGGGAGCGAAAGGGAUUAGAUACCCCAGUAGUC
Molecule: ribosomal RNA, 446 nt
Filed under: uncultured bacterium
Lineage: Bacteria
Description: partial 16S ribosomal RNA
Rfam family: Bacterial small subunit ribosomal RNA
Source: RNAcentral